UUAACUAUUAUAUAGUACUCAGACAAUAUGAUUAAACAAGAGUUUUAGGUCCUCUGGCAGGCACUGGCCAGCUAAAAGCCGGCGGUCGAAACGGGCCUGCCAAAGCAACAAAGGUAAUGUAAACAAAGGGUGGAGUAUUAGGGCAUUAACCCAUAAUGACUCUGUAAUGAUCCUUCCGCAGGUUCCAAAUGUUUAAGGCUAUCUUCAGCUUUAGCUCGAUCAUAUCUUAACCCUAGAGGGCCACCUCUAUUUGAUCUGUGGACCUGCUAAGCAGGCUGCUAGUAAUACAAUAGUAAUUUCUAGCACAGUAGAGAUGUUGCCUGCUAAGCAGACUAAAUUCGCAGGCGAACCACCUACGGAAA
This 362-nucleotide unclassified non-coding RNA is filed under the name uncultured fungus. Its description in RNAcentral is "sequence contains ITS1". The record is from RNAcentral. Lineage: Eukaryota; Fungi.